AAUAUAAUUCUAACACUGUUAUAUGGUGGAAAUGAGGUUAGAUUCCUCUACUGUGCCGCAACGGUAAUAUCAUUUUGUGAUUAGUCCGGUCUUCAUUUAACAGAGCUUCCGAGCAGGAGAACCCUCUUUUU
This 131-nucleotide small RNA is filed under the name Candidatus Nomuraibacteriota. The record is from RNAcentral.